AGUGAACGCUGGCGGCAGGCCUAAUACAUGCAAGUCGAACGGCAGCACAGCAGAGCUUGCUCUGUGGGUGGCGAGUGGCGGACGGGUGAGGAAUACGUGGGAAUCUGCCCAGUCGUGGGGAUAACGUAGGGAAACUUACGCUAAUACCGCAUGCGCCCUUCGGGGAAAGCCGGGGACCUUCGGGCCUGGCGCGAUUGGAUGAGCCCACGUCGGAUUAGCUAGUUGGCGGGGUAAAGGCCCACCAAGGCGACGAUCCGUAGCUGGUCUGAGAGGAUGAUCAGCCACACUGGAACUGAGACACGGUCCAGACUCCUACGGGAGGCAGCAGUAGGGAAUAUUGGACAAUGGGCGCAAGCCUGAUCCAGCCAUGCCGCGUGAGUGAAGAAGGCCCUCGGGUUGUAAAGCUCUUUUGUCCGGAAAGAAAAGCGCCGGGUUAAUACCCUGGUGUCCUGACGGUACCGGAAGAUAAGCACCGGCUAACUUCGUGCCAGCAGCCGCGGU
This 501-nucleotide ribosomal RNA is filed under the name uncultured bacterium. RNAcentral describes it as "bacterial SSU rRNA". It matches the Rfam family "Bacterial small subunit ribosomal RNA", at positions 29 to 521 of the family's 1533-position model. The record is from RNAcentral.